Long non-coding RNA from Cephus cinctus (wheat stem sawfly), 655 nucleotides. RefSeq lists it as uncharacterized. The record is from RefSeq and is a predicted model, not a curated record. The transcript is spliced from 3 exons. NCBI's taxonomy places the organism in Eukaryota, Metazoa, Arthropoda, Insecta, Hymenoptera, Cephidae.
CCUGGGAGUUGAGGUGAAAAAGUGUCAACUCCGCCAAAACGAGAGCUCUGACGGAACCUGCCAGAAAAGACAGUAGCUUAACGGAUCCUGCGCAUUUUUGGGGACGCUUAAAAACGGAAAACGUAACCGUAUAUGCUGAAAUCCCUCCACCGAUUAAUAAAUUGGGAGUACUCACCAGGGCUGGUUCAGCUGAUCCGUGAAGACCGAGAACUGUAUCCAGGAGACACUCAGCGGGUCGGUGGUACCUCACCCGGAUCUUUGCCGAUACGUGGAAACGUCUCCGUCGGGUACUCUCCUCUACCAGGCAACCCGGUACGUCAGGACUGUCUCUCCACGGCAGAUUCGAACACCUCGACCUCAAUUCCACAAUAAAAAAUCUUCCGAGAGCAUUGGCGUAACUGUACGAAUUAAUCCGACAGUGUAGCUUCUGAGGAGGAUUGUGACUCGAAGUGAACCAAAAAGCGAGAAGGUUUUCUGAAUCGGUAGCUGGAGUCGCUUUGUGACUGUGAGUCGAAAAAACACGUCACAAUAUAAAAAGAGAAGUGAAAAGGGUCACACUGAGCCCUGCAAACCCCAAGCUGAGUGAAGAAAAAAGAAAAUAAAAGGUUACGUACAGAAGGAAAAAGGAAAUGGAAGAAGUGUCGAAAAAAUGAGU